CAGGUGCAGUAUAGAGUGCUGAAUCGUGAGCUUAUUUUAUAUUACAACCUAAUCAAAAUGUUUAUAGCCAUAUAUGCUGUUCUCUUCUCUUUGGUCACAGAAGCUGUCCUGGGACUGACACUGGAGCAAAAAGACCUCUCCAUGACUAAAGAAGAGGGCAAAAGUGUGUAUAUCAGCUGCAAAGUGACUGGAUUAUCUUUAAGCAAUUAUGUCCACUGGUACCAAAAGAAAGAAGGUGAAGCUCUCACAAGGAUCCUAUAUGUCAAAAGUGGAAGCCUGGAACCUGUUCAUGAUGCUAACCAUAAUGAAGCAAAGGAGUUUGGUGUGAGGACACAGUCUGAUAAUUUUGACCUAAAGAUUGCAAACCUAAAGAAAAGUCACGCAGCAGUUUAUUACUGUGCCAGCUGGGACUCCCACAAAGUCAUCACAUAUUCACAGACUGUACAAAUACCCUGAUGUUACACAACCACAACAGGAAAUGAUAUUCACACGAAUGAUAGAAAGUGUGAAAAGAACAUUACUGUUACGAAAC
Ictalurus punctatus (channel catfish) is the source of this 532-nucleotide RNA transcript. RefSeq lists it as uncharacterized. The transcript is spliced from 3 exons. The record is from RefSeq and is a predicted model, not a curated record. NCBI's taxonomy places the organism in Eukaryota, Metazoa, Chordata, Actinopteri, Siluriformes, Ictaluridae.